CAGAACAUAACUUUACACCUUUCUUCUUCACAAUAAGUUCUCAGCCUAUUUGUGGUAGUUGCGAUUUUGCGGCCGUUAUUUAGGCUCCUCAUCGACGAAUGACGGCAGGUUCUGCUUAUCGGUAUUUUGUUCUCAAAAUUUUCCGAUUUACUGUUUGUCGUCGUCGAACGUAGCGCCAAUUCGAUUUUAUUACAAUAUUUAUUUAUUUAACUUACCAAAGCAGAAAAAGCCACGUGGGUAUCUUUCUCCUUGUCUAAAACCCUACCAAUAGAAGUCGAACUUAAAACCAUAAACCUCGUUGCUAUUUUUACCUUAAAAAAAUGGCGGGUCCUCUGCUUCGAACUCUCUGGUCCUCCACCAGGAAGUCUAUAUCUUCUUCUUCUUAUUCUUCCUCUUCCUUACUAUACAAGCACUACCUUUCAUCAAGCGUUACACCAUUUAUCCCACGCGCCACCACUGGCGUCACACGAGCCUUCUCCGCCGCCUCCUCCACUGCAACCACCUCGGCUGCAACAGCACCGAAUUCCGCCUUGGACCCUAGCCGGUUACGUAAUGUUGCUGUGAUUGCACAUGUCGAUCAUGGAAAGACGACACUGAUGGAUCGAUUGCUUAGGCAGUGCGGCGCCGAUAUUCCUCACGAACGUGCCAUGGACUCCAUUAGCCUUGAACGCGAGCGUGGCAUCACCAUAGCCUCUAAGGUUACUUCAAUUUCAUGGAAAGAAAAUGAGCUAAACAUGGUUGAUACACCUGGACAUGCUGAUUUUGGUGGUGAAGUUGAGCGAGUUGUUGGCAUGGUUGAAGGUGCAAUUUUAGUUGUAGAUGCUGGUGAAGGCCCACUUGCCCAGACAAAGUUUGUUCUUGCUAAAGCAUUGAAGUAUGGGCUUCGCCCAAUUCUACUUUUAAACAAAGUAGAUCGGCCUGCAGUUUCUGAGGAGAGGUGUGAUGAAGUUGAGAGCCUUGUGUUUGAUCUAUUUGCCAAUCUGGGUGCUACAGAGGAACAGCUGGAUUUUCCUGUUCUUUAUGCUUCCGCUAAAGAGGGCUGGGCAUCUUCCACCUUCACUAAAGAUCCUCCUACUGAUGCAAAGAAUAUGUCACAGUUGCUUGAUGCUAUCAUAAGGCAUGUUCCACCACCAAAAGCAAGCCUUGAUGCUCCUUUUCAGAUGCUGGUUUCCAUGAUGGAAAAAGACUUCUAUCUUGGGCGGAUAUUAACCGGACGUGUUGCUUCUGGAGUCCUUCGUGUUGGGGACAGGGUGCAUGGACUACGUUCCACAGAUUCAGGGGUUGUGAAAAUUGAAGAGGGAAAGGUUAUGAAGCUAAUGAAGAAGAAGGGUACAAACACAGUUCUCAUCGAUAGUGCUGGAGCUGGUGACAUUAUAUCAAUGGCUGGUAUGGCAAUUCCAUCAAUAGGCCAUACAUUGGCAAAUGUGGAGGUGAUGACUGCAUUACCGACUGUUGAGUUGGACCCUCCAACCAUUUCCAUGACCUUUGGUGUAAACGAUUCUCCACUAGCUGGCCGAGAUGGUACCCACUUGACUGGAGGAAAAAUUGGUGAUCGUUUAAUGGCUGAAGCUGAAACUAACCUUGCCAUAAAUGUCAUUCCUGGUUUGUCAGAAUCAUAUGAAGUUCAAGGGAGAGGGGAACUUCAACUCGGUAUUUUGAUAGAGAAUAUGAGGCGGGAAGGGUUUGAGCUGUCUGUAUCACCACCUAAAGUCAUGUAUAAAACACAGAAUGGCCAGAAGCUUGAACCAAUUGAAGAAGUAACCAUUGAGAUAAAUGAAGAGCAUGUGGGAUUAGUUAUGGAAGCUCUAUCUCACAGACGUGCUGAAGUUCUUGAUAUGGGCCCAGUGCCUGGACAUCUGGGUAGGACUAGAUUGGCUUUGACUUGUCCAUCAAGGGGCCUGGUUGGUUAUAGGAGUGUGUUCAGCAGUGAUACACGUGGAACUGGAUUUAUGCAUCGAGCUUUCCUGACCUAUGAAAAAUAUCGGGGCCCACUUGGAAAUGUUAGGAAGGGAGUAUUGGUAUCAAUGGGCUAUGGUACAGUCACAGCUUAUGCAUUAAUGAGUUUGGAAGCUCGUGGAACACUCUUUGUUACUCCUGGAAUGGAGACAUAUGAUGGCAUGAUUGUGGGUGAACAUUCGCGUGAUACAGAUCUCGAUAUCAACCCGGUUAGGGCUAAGGAGCUCUCUAACAUGCGUGCUGCUGGCAAAGAUGAGAAUGUGAAACUAUCUCCACCUCGAUUGAUGACUCUUGAAGAAGCCAUUGGCUAUGUUGCUUCCGAUGAGCUUAUUGAGGUUACGCCUAAGGCCAUUCGUUUGAGAAAAAGAUACCUGGAUGUCAAUAAGCGCAAAGCCAUGAGUAAGAGGCCGAAGGAAUGAAAUCAAUCGAACACAACUCUGUAACUUAUACCUCUCAAUUCUUGAAUUCUGCGGAGCAGUUAACCUAAAUAUAGCAAUCAGAAAGCCAUUCUACUGGCUACAUAGCUUACUAAAAGAUCAAUGGAAUUUAUUCUUUCCUCAAACCAAAUUGAAACGAUGGAUUGUAGUCAACAAUCAAUGGAGUUUCACAGAAGAAAAGCCGUUUUGAAUUGUUUUUAUUUCAUUUGUUUAAUUCUGUAACAGUAGAUGGGUGUAUUGACGAUCUUGUCAACGAUGAAAAAUGAAAAGCAAGAUCCAUUCCUUGAUUGUUAACAUCAGAAUUCCAGAAGGAAUUGUAAAACACAAGAAAAGUUCAGAACUUGAGCCGUUAAUUAAGAAUAUUCCAAGAAGAGUGCAACUCCAAAACAAAUAAGAACAAUUCAAAGCGGCUUUUCUUCUGUGAGAAUGAAACUAUCCUUUCAGGCCAACCAGCUUUUCUAAUUUUUAAUUAAUUUAUUUUAUAA
This is a non-coding RNA of Jatropha curcas, 2878 nucleotides long. The record is from RefSeq and is a predicted model, not a curated record. Lineage: Eukaryota; Viridiplantae; Streptophyta; Magnoliopsida; Malpighiales; Euphorbiaceae.